GAAAUAUAAACACCUGCAAUCAACACCACACCCGUCACGAUUGUACAUAAUAGCCAACUACUUCAGGUGACACAUGGUCAAGUAAAAUAGAAGACAAGGAGAUUCUUCGUCCGCCGAAUAAUUUUCAAGUGUGCAGUUAUUUCGAAAGUUUAAGCCAUUCUAAUCAACCAUGAAAAGCGCAUAUAAAUAUCCAGAUGGGAGCGAGUACAAUGGGGAGUGGUCGGACAAUGGACAGCGUGAAGGAUACGGUCACAUGAAAUUUCCAGAUGGUGCACAGUACUAUGGGAAGUUUGUGAACGGACUAUGUGAGGGACUCGGUGUCAUGGUGUUUUCUGAUAAUUCAAGGUUUGAAGGAGAGUUUCAGCAAGGGAAGUUCAGUGGAUUGGGAGCGUUCUUCAGGUGUGAUGGGAUGAAAUUUGAAGGUGAAUUUCAAGACGGCAAGAUCCGUGGUCAAGGUAUUGUGACCUUUCCUGAUGGAACACACGGCAUCCCAAGAAAUGAGGGUCAGUUUGAUGGAAACAAAAUGGUGCGACGAGAAAAAUGUUUGGCAACUAUUCAGAAAGCGAGACAAGUUGCUAAUCAUGCUAAAAGUCAGAGUCAAUAAGGAUGCUGCAUUUGGCAAACAAUGUUCCAUUAUGGUGCUUAAUCUUGAAUGCCAAGGUUAAAAAAGUUAUUUUCAACGAAUUCCAUGUACAAACUAAAAACUUAUCCAACGAUCAGAUUCAUUUAAAUACAUGUAUUACUCGUAAUAUCAGAGUAUGAAGUAACAUGGAAGCAACCUACAUGUACAUCAUUUCCCAUUUUUUACAGGACAAUGUAGAUUGUCUCCCUUUUAUAUGUUGUUCUUAGAUCAAACUCAAAACCAAGCAUAAUACUAUUUAUGUUUAAAUAUAUAUCCUUUAUGGAAAUGAACAAAUUUUGUACUUGACAAAUGAAUUAGUGGAAAUAUUGUGUUAGAAAGUGUAGUAACAAUUUUGGUGAAAUACUAUAUUGUCUGGUGGUAUGUAUGUAGAAACAUAUAUUCAACUAAAUUCUGCACUUAAAAAUAUAUAUGUUCCCAAGGAAAAGAGAGAGGAAGAGAGAAAUAGAGAGAGAGGGAGAUGUAAUACACAAGGUUAUACAUUAAUAUAUAUAUCAUAUCUUCUAAGAUUUUAUAUACUAUAAACAUUCCACAUCAGUUACAAUGUUUUGACAUAAAUGAGGAUCUCCCUAUUAUCGUCAAGCUCAAUAUAUGUAUAAUUUGUCGUUUUCAAUAGAGUUUACAGGUUCAAAACAAUUGUCGCUAACAUGAAACAAAAGCAGAUCUUUCUUUAUUGAAAAACAAUAACAAUAUGUUGUUUUCGAAAUACUUUCGGGAUUCGAUUAACAAAAACAUUGGUGUGCAGUUCCAAACUGCCCGUCUAAUGACAGUGCACCAAUCAGUAGAUAUCCCUUUCAUGAGGAUGUAAAAUUUCAGCCAUUGUUUUUCUUUGGAGAUAUCCUUACUUCAUUGCCUAUCGCACUCAGAUAUUCUGAUGUCAGUGUUUGUCAAUAAUGUUAAGAUAUCGGAACACCUUUUCUUGUCUUGUUGAGAUAUCCUGAUUUCAUUUGAUUGUUAAGUUUAGAUAUCCUGAUGUCAUUUGAUAUCAGGUGGAGAUAUCCUGAUGUCAUUUGAUAUCGGGUGGAAAUAUCCUGAUGUCAUUUGAUAUCGGGUGGAGAUAUCCUGAUGUCGUUUGAUAUCAGGUGGAGAUAUCCUGAUGUCGUUUGAUAUCAGGUGGAGAUAUCCUGAUGCCAAUGGUUGUCAAGCUGAGUUAUCAUCAUCAAAGAGGUUGUCAAUUUGAAAAGUAAAAUGUCAUGAUUUUCAAAAGUUGAGAUAUCAGUAAUGUAUAUUAUAUAUGUUGUACAUUUUAAUGUUUUUGUUUGGAAUAUUUAAAAUUAUGUGAAAUGUUAUGUAAUGAUGUUACACAUUUUAUUUGUACAUUUUGCAGUUUACAAACAGUUUCACCAAAGUGUUUUUUUUAUACUACUACACAUGUAAUAAAAUCAGUGAGAAUGAU
RNAcentral lists this unclassified non-coding RNA (2036 nucleotides) under Mizuhopecten yessoensis (Yesso scallop). RNAcentral's name for it is "mORN repeat-containing protein 4-like, transcript variant X1". Lineage: Eukaryota; Metazoa; Mollusca; Bivalvia; Pectinida; Pectinidae. The record is from RNAcentral.